UCAGUCUUCACGCUGCCCCUCUUUCGUUUCUCUUUGGCUUAAACACAGAGCAUCCCUGUUCUUGCUCUCCCUGUUCUCGCUCUCUUCAGUAUUCACGCUGCCCCUCACUCGCUCUCUCUGUAUACCUGUUCUUGCUCUCCCUGUUCUCGCCCUCUUCAGUAUUCACGCUGCCCCUCACUCGCUCUCUCUGUAUACUUCUGUCAGGUUUUUUGAUAAGCCUCUUUGCCUUUGCCUCUCUCAAUUAUCAAAACCCUUAAAGUCUGAAACCAACCAUUCUCUCUGCCUUUCUAAGCCGUUCUCUCUAUAUCCCUGAUAGUCCACCAUAACCAUCUCUCCCACCCAUGACUGAGCCGUUACCCAUCAUAGCCAUCGCAAAAUCUCCAAUGUUGUAGACCCAGUUACGCAAAGAUGCUCUUAAUAUCAUGUAAUGCAGCUGGAGCUGAAUUUGAAUAUGAGGGGACGUGCCUAGGAACCGAAAGACGAAUGAUUUUGUUGAUGAUAAUUCAAGAAUCUCAUUCAGACAGUUGAUACUUAUAUUAGAUGAAUUCCAUAAGUUCUGCAUCUUGAAGAUCAAGUAAAGAAUACCUUAAGAGAAGAUUUCUCAAAGAGAACUCCAAUGAGAGUCUUCUUUCUGUAACAAAUCCUGCAUAUUCGUGUUAGGUCCUACUCUCAUCUUGUGCCCAAAUCUGUGUUUGAAGCUAUGACUUAUGAGCUUUUGGAAUGUUGGUAAUAAUGUUUUCAUUGCCAUAAAGCAAACAAGGUGUGGCCUUUAUGUGUUAUGUGGAAUAUCCUACAUUUGUAAUCAAAGAACAUGUUUUUUUU
Quercus robur (English oak) is the source of this 822-nucleotide long non-coding RNA. RefSeq lists it as uncharacterized. NCBI's taxonomy places the organism in Eukaryota, Viridiplantae, Streptophyta, Magnoliopsida, Fagales, Fagaceae. The record is from RefSeq and is a predicted model, not a curated record. The transcript has 5 exons.